CCUACGGGCGGCAGCAGUGAGGAAUAUUGGUCAAUGGCCGGAAGGCUGAACCAGCCAAGCCGCGUGAAGGACGAAGGUGCCAAGGAUUGUAAACUUCUUUUGUCAAGGGACAAAAUCAGUCUCGAGUGCCUGACCGAGGGUACUUGCAGAAUAAGCAUCGGCUAACUCCGUGCCAGCAGCCGCGGUAAUACGGAGGGUGCGAGCGUUAUCCGGAUUUAUUGGGUUUAAAGGGUGCGUAGGCGGGCUGUUAAGUCAGCGGUAAAAGCCCGGGGCUCAACCCCGGCGAGCCGUUGGAACUGGCUUGCUUGAGAUGUCGGGAGGUAUGCGGAAUGCGUGGUGUAGCGGUGAAAUGCUUAGAU
This 359-nucleotide ribosomal RNA is filed under the name uncultured bacterium. RNAcentral describes it as "partial 16S ribosomal RNA". It matches the Rfam family "Bacterial small subunit ribosomal RNA", at positions 338 to 695 of the family's 1533-position model. The record is from RNAcentral.